RNAcentral lists this ribosomal RNA (436 nucleotides) under uncultured Butyricicoccus sp. Its description in RNAcentral is "partial 16S ribosomal RNA". It matches the Rfam family "Bacterial small subunit ribosomal RNA", at positions 341 to 792 of the family's 1533-position model. The record is from RNAcentral. Lineage: Bacteria; Bacillati; Bacillota; Clostridia; Eubacteriales; Butyricicoccaceae.
ACGGGAGGCAGCAGUGGGGAAUAUUGCGCAAUGGGGGCAACCCUGACGCAGCAACGCCGCGUGAUUGAAGAAGGUCUUCGGAUUGUAAAAAUCUUUUAUCAAGGACGAAGAAGUGACGGUACUUGAUGAAUAAGCUCCGGCUAACUACGUGCCAGCAGCCGCGGUAAUACGUAGGGAGCAAGCGUUAUCCGGAUUUACUGGGUGUAAAGGGCGAGUAGGCGGGUCGGCAAGUUGGGAGUGAAAUGUCGGGGCUUAACCCCGGAACUGCUUCCAAAACUGUUGAUCUUGAGUGAUGGAGAGGCAGGCGGAAUUCCUAGUGUAGCGGUGAAAUGCGUAGAUAUUAGGAGGAACACCAGUGGCGAAGGCGGCCUGCUGGACAUUAACUGACGCUGAGGAGCGAAAGCGUGGGGAGCAAACAGGAUUAGAUACCCUGGUA